GUGUUCAAUUUGGCAGCACACAUACUAAAACCACAAUGGUAAAAAAGAUUAGCAUGUCAUCUGUGCAGAGAUGACAUGCCAACUCAUGAAGCAUUCCAUAUUUUG
Microtus ochrogaster (prairie vole) is the source of this 105-nucleotide small nuclear RNA. NCBI's taxonomy places the organism in Eukaryota, Metazoa, Chordata, Mammalia, Rodentia, Cricetidae. The record is from Ensembl.